GACAAAAUAUAUUUAAAGUAACUUUAUUCAUGCUUAUUUCAUAGUUUUUAUUCUAUUUAUUCAAAAGAAACCCUAUUUUAUGAUUUAUUUUUUUUGUAAAACUGAUGAAAAUGGGAUACAGGAAAUGUUUGGAGUUUGCUGGUUAAACUGUUUGCCACUGGCCAAUAUGCCAGUACUACGCGACAUGAAAAAAGAGCUGUAUUUUCACUAUUCGUGGUCACAAUCCUUAAAGUAAGACAUCAUUUUAAUCGGUAUAGUGUACAGAUUCAGAAAAGCUAAGAAAUUUUAAUAUAUCGCAUAUAAAGUUUUGCCUUAAGGGUGCUAUAAACAGUUUCGUAUAAAAAAAAUAGGGGUUAUUCCCCGACUAAAAAUAACCAUGGAGGGAAACCCCUGUUUAUUUACUCAAUUGGUGAAAAAGUAUCAUGUUUUUUGUAUUUGAUUGUAAAAAUUAGUUAAUUAGCUUUCAAUUAAAACAGGUUGAAUGAUUGAAAUAAUUUUAAAAAUUAUAUUAACUUUACAUGUUUUGAGGGGAGACAACACUGUAAACAUCCUGUUUUUUUGGCAGUGAAAAUUGAAAACUUAUUUGCAGCCACUGUAGCUCUUUUCGGAGCAGGAAACCGUACCCUGAAACAAGAUUUUUUUGAAAGGCCAGGUAAAAACCUACAAAUUUCAUACAGUUUUGAUUAUGUAAAAUGUGCAUGGAUCAUGUCUUCAUGGGUGUGCACAUGACCUGGUUUCAAGUUUUUUAUGUUCAAAUUAGACCUUUUUUCCCCCAUGUUCAUUGGAUGGAAUAUUUUUAAUAUAUUAAAAGUACACAUUAUUUUUAUUUCAUUAUAAACUAGAGAACAUUCUGAUUCCAGUGAUAUCUAGUUUUAUACAAGUAUCUUUAUUAAUCAGUCCACCACUAAGGGUCACUUAUGCAUGGUCCCUCAAAAUGUGACGUCAUAGAAAAAAACUGUUGAUUGCACCCUUA
RNAcentral lists this long non-coding RNA (973 nucleotides) under Mytilus galloprovincialis (Mediterranean mussel). The record is from RNAcentral. Lineage: Eukaryota; Metazoa; Mollusca; Bivalvia; Mytilida; Mytilidae.